Molecule: long non-coding RNA, 252 nt
Organism: Sapajus apella (tufted capuchin)
Lineage: Eukaryota; Metazoa; Chordata; Mammalia; Primates; Cebidae
Exons: 3
Source: RefSeq, a predicted model, not a curated record
AAUGGCCUACUGCUGGCCAGGAGCCUUAUCGAUGACAUAGUCAAUUAGCACAUAUUGUGUAUGUUGUAUGCAUUUUAUACUAUAUUCUUAAAGUAAGCCAGAGAAAAGAAAAUGUUAAAAUCAUAAAGAGAAAAUAAAUUUCUUAGUCAUUAAGUGGAAAUGGGUCAUUAUAAAGGUCUUGAUUCUCAUCAUCUUCACAUUGAGUAGGCUCAGGAGGAAAAAGAAGAAGAGUUCGUCUUUCUGUCUUGGCUG